Molecule: ribosomal RNA, 396 nt
Filed under: uncultured bacterium
Lineage: Bacteria
Description: bacterial SSU rRNA
Rfam family: Bacterial small subunit ribosomal RNA
Source: RNAcentral
GACGAACGCUGGCGGCGUGCUUAACACAUGCAAGUCGAGCGAGAAAGCUCCUUCGGGAGUGAGUACAGCGGCGAACGGGUGAGUAACACGUGGGCAACCUGCCCAAGGGAGCGGGACAACCCGGGGAAACCCGGGCUAAUACCGCAUAACGCGUCAUGCUCUAAGGCGUGACGCCAAAAGGUAGCUUCGGCCUCCGCCCUUGGAUGGGCCCCGCGGCGCAUUAGCUUGUUGGCGGGGUAACGCCCACCAAGCGACGAUGCGUAGCUGGUCUGAGAGGACGAUCAGCCACACUGGGACUGAGACACGGCCCAGACUCCUACGGGAGGCAGCAGUGGGGAAUCUUGCGCAAUGGGCGGAAGCCUGACGCAGCAACGCCGCGUGAGGGAAGAAGGCUUU